GUCGCUUUCACCCUCAUCCCUGUGCUUGUCACAGGAAUGAGGUUCGAUGGUAACCACCGU
RNAcentral lists this small RNA (60 nucleotides) under Sinorhizobium meliloti 2011. RNAcentral describes it as "putative ncRNA". Lineage: Bacteria; Pseudomonadati; Pseudomonadota; Alphaproteobacteria; Hyphomicrobiales; Rhizobiaceae. The record is from RNAcentral.